CUGGAGGAAAAACAUCUUAAUUUAUUAGCGCACUUAGGAUAAGGAAAAGUAACAUUAUUUGGCAUGAUUACUUAAUUAAUAUCCAAGUGAUUUUGUUCAACAGAUUAUUAUGUCAUCUGUUGCAUAUUAAAGCCACUAGAACUUCUUCAUCAAUAAGAUGAUGUUUGAUAUGGGAGUGGAGUAAAUGCUCACUAGGAUUUUACUAACUUUCAUAUUUUCCAUUUCUUCCAGCUGGUAACAAUCAAUCAGCAGUGGCAGCCUAUAGAAGAGCUGGAAAAGGUCAAAAAGCUUACGAAGUGAGAAGUUUCUGUUGCCUGAAAAAGAUGUUUGUAACUGGAGGAAAGCACUGGAGCAUGCAUUCCAUGGUAUUUACCAAUAUAAGCCUUCAAGAAGUGUCCAAACUCCUUCCCAGUAAUUGACUGGGCAGUCUGUGCUAGCACACAACUCCUGCGAAGGCUGAGAGCGCUGCGCCAUCGCCUGGAGCAGCUGCGAACCGCCUGCAAGGCUCCAGGUGAGGAGAGUCUGUCCAUACAGGUGUGUCAGACUUGUUCUCACAGGGGAAACAGGAACACGAGAAACCUGUAAAAAAAAUGCAGAAUAAUUGUAUGCGUCUGUCCAUACAGGUGUGUCAGACUUGCUCUCACAGGGGAAACAGGAACGCGAGAAACCUGUAAAAACAAUGCAGAAUAAUUGUAUGCUACGUUGAACUAUAGAGCACCGUCUUAACUAUGAAAAGUGUUUUUCUCAAAAAUUCUGUUUUACACUUAAAAGGUCAGCUACUAGACUUAGGUAACUGCUUUUAUAAGUUCACGUUUCAUCAGUUUAUUUAGGGAUUUAUUAAUUAAUUUCUUCGUGUGUACUUUGGGAAAAGAAAUAGAAAGAUUGCAGGGACUUGGGUGCUCUUAAUGCACCUGAGAUAAAAGCAAAUUUUUAGUUUGCUUGCCAUCUGGGUCCUUUUGUUUAUUCAUCAGCUGAACUAAAAAUCCCUGUGUGUAUCAGUACUUAGUUUACUAUGUAAAACAAUGCAAAACACACUAUACAGAGAGCA
This 1048-nucleotide long non-coding RNA is filed under the name Taeniopygia guttata (zebra finch). RNAcentral describes it as "lncRNA (ENSTGUG00000024021.1)". The record is from RNAcentral. Lineage: Eukaryota; Metazoa; Chordata; Aves; Passeriformes; Estrildidae.